Ribosomal RNA from Lupinus angustifolius (narrow-leaved blue lupine), 119 nucleotides. The record is from Rfam. NCBI's taxonomy places the organism in Eukaryota, Viridiplantae, Streptophyta, Magnoliopsida, Fabales, Fabaceae.
AGGUGUGAUCAUACCAGUACUAAUGCACUGGAUCCCAUCAUAACUCUCCAGUGAAGCGUGCUUGGGCGAGAGUAGUACUAGGAUGGGUGACCACGUGGGAAGUCCUCGUGUGUCACCUC